AUAAAUUUUUCACUUGAAUUGUAUAAGCAAAUAAUUGGAAUGCGUCGAUAAAACGAGAAAUGUGAUGAAAAUAUGAGUUUAGAGAGGAGCUUGGACUUAUUGAACUGGGCUUUGUAUCUCUCUCAUGUGACUUUGAGUUUCUAGACUCUUAGUAGCGUAAUCAGAAAAUCAGCUCCGCUCAACAAAUUUCUAAUUUUUAUAAUACCAGCAACUAAUUAAUAGUCUGAUUGAUUGAUAUCCUUUGUGGCUCUACUCUACGCUAUAAGUUCUCGAUACUUAAAAUAGUUGACACAUCACAUCAUAUGAUUUUUUUUUUAUGUUUCUUAAACAAGAAGUAAUGCUAACAUAUCUUUUUCUAGGAAUUUUCUUUGGCUUAUUGAUUUGCAGAUCAACUAUGUGAUCAAACAUUAGUGAGAAAUUAAUGAAUUAAUCCUUCACUUAGGCUUGAAUAAAAAAUCAUAUUGAAAACAUAUUUAAUUAGAAUAAUUUAAUUAUU
This 496-nucleotide long non-coding RNA is filed under the name Ananas comosus (pineapple). RNAcentral describes it as "long non-coding RNA (ACOM_LNC000147)". Lineage: Eukaryota; Viridiplantae; Streptophyta; Magnoliopsida; Poales; Bromeliaceae. The record is from RNAcentral.